UACGUAGGGGGCAAGCGUUGUCCGGAUUUAUUGGGCGUAAAGAGCGUGUAGGCGGUCAGGUAGGUCCGUUGUGAAAACUCGAGGCUCAACCUCGAGACGCCGAUGGAAACCAUCUGACUAGAGUCCGGAAGAGGAGAGUGGAAUUCCUGGUGUAGCGGUGAAAUGCGCAGAUAUCAGGAAGAACACCCGUGGCUAAGGCGGCUCUCUGGCCUGCAACUGACGCUGAGGUGCGAAAGCGUGGGGAGCGAACGGG
This 253-nucleotide ribosomal RNA is filed under the name uncultured bacterium. RNAcentral describes it as "partial 16S ribosomal RNA". It matches the Rfam family "Bacterial small subunit ribosomal RNA", at positions 524 to 776 of the family's 1533-position model. The record is from RNAcentral.